This 253-nucleotide ribosomal RNA is filed under the name uncultured bacterium. RNAcentral describes it as "partial 16S ribosomal RNA". It matches the Rfam family "Bacterial small subunit ribosomal RNA", at positions 524 to 776 of the family's 1533-position model. The record is from RNAcentral.
CACGUAGGAGGCGAGCGUUGUCCGGAAUCAUUGGGCGUAAAGAGCGCGCAGGCGGCUUGGCAAGUCGGGUGUGAAAUCCCGGGGCUCAACCCCGAGACUGCAUUCGAUACUGUCAGGCUAGAGGUAGGUAGGGGAGAUCGGAAUUCCUGGUGUAGCGGUGAAAUGCGCAGAUAUCAGGAGGAACACCAGCGGCGAAGGCGGCGCUCUGGGCCGGUACUGACGCUGAGGAGCGAAAGCGUGGGGAUCAAACAGG